CCUGUAUACCAGUGCUAUUUAAAGGAAAAGAAUUGCAGUGAAGUAAUAGUUUGACGGCUCCUGAACUGCAGUGUAUACUCCUAGAUGAACCAAAGAUUGAUAAAUUCAAGCAAAGCAUGAGAAUUAUCAGACUAAAAAUAUGAAUGAGUUGAGAUUACAGCAGGAUUCAGAGAUAAGCAGAACUGCCAAAACUAAGCCUGGAAGAUUUAAAUUAUUAAUGAGGUCUUGAUAGAUGUAAUUUACUACAUACUCUCUG
Long non-coding RNA from Homo sapiens (human), 256 nucleotides. RefSeq lists it as uncharacterized. The transcript has 3 exons. The record is from RefSeq and is a predicted model, not a curated record. NCBI's taxonomy places the organism in Eukaryota, Metazoa, Chordata, Mammalia, Primates, Hominidae.